This 495-nucleotide ribosomal RNA is filed under the name uncultured bacterium. RNAcentral describes it as "bacterial SSU rRNA". It matches the Rfam family "Bacterial small subunit ribosomal RNA", at positions 36 to 507 of the family's 1533-position model. The record is from RNAcentral.
CUGGCGGCGUGCCUAAUACAUGCAAGUCGAGCGGAAUGAAGAAGAAGCUUUGCUUCUUCUGAUUUUUAGCGGCGGACGGGUGAGUAACACGUGGGCAACCUACCUUGUAGAUUGGGAUAACUCCGGGAAACCGGGGCUAAUACCGAAUAAUCCAUUUUUGCUUCAUGGCGAGAUGUUAAAAGGCGGCUUCGGCUGUCACUACGAGAUGGGCCCGCGGCGCAUUAGCUAGUUGGUAGGGUAAUGGCCUACCAAGGCGACGAUGCGUAGCCGACCCGAGAGGGUGAUCGGCCACACUGGGACUGAGACACGGCCCAGACUCCUACGGGAGGCAGCAGUAGGGAAUCUUCCACAAUGGACGAAAGUCUGAUGGAGCAACGCCGCGUGAGUGAAGAAGGUUUUCGGAUCGUAAAACUCUGUUGUAAGGGAAGAACACGUACGAGAGUAACUGCUCGUACCUUGACGGUACCUUAUUAGAAAGCCACGGCUAACUACGUG